This is a long non-coding RNA of Halichondria panicea, 1993 nucleotides long. RefSeq lists it as uncharacterized. NCBI's taxonomy places the organism in Eukaryota, Metazoa, Porifera, Demospongiae, Suberitida, Halichondriidae. The record is from RefSeq and is a predicted model, not a curated record. The transcript is spliced from 5 exons.
UCUUCAUAAUAUUGCAGCGAGAAAUGUACCAAAGUUUCGGAAUGAUUUUCGUGAGCUAGUAGAAGAAAUGAAAAGCAUUAAAGAUUCAACUGUUACUGCAUUUGUUGACGAAGAGAGUAUGUUAAAGGCUAUAUACUUUCAGACACCUGAAAUGAAAAAUAUAUAUUUGCUUCUUAUCCUGAACUCCUCUUGAUUGAUGCUACGUACAAACUAAACGAUCUGCAUAAUUAUGCCUUUGUACGUUUUAAUGGUAGUCGAUGGGAAUGGUGAGAGUGAGACUGUAUGUCUGUGGCUGACACAAUUUGAAGAUAAAGAAACUAUUACAAAACUUGUUGAAGAAUUCAAGAAGUAUAAUUCAGAUUGGAUUUCAACGAAAUGUAUUAUGUCCGACAAAGAUAUGACUGAGAGAACUGUUUUAGGCGAACAAUUUCCACAGUCCAAGCUUUUGAUUUGCUUAUUUCAUACUCUGCGCACUAUGAAAAGAGAGGUAUUCUGCGAAAAGCUUGGCAUAUCACAGGGAGAAAGGAGUAUGUGCUUGGAAAUAUUGUUGAAAAUGGUGUAUGCAAGAGACGAAGAAGAGUAUAGUAAGCUCUUUGAUAGUUAAAGAAUGGACCACAACGACUUGUGGAGUACUUUGAAAAUAAUUGGCAUAGCAUUCGCCAUGAAUGGGUGGACGGUUUGAAAAAUGCAACUUGCAACUUUAUGAAUCGCACCAAUAAUAGAGUUGAAAGCAUCAAUCAGAAAUUAAAGUCUGUAAUUUCUCGGUAUUCAGGAGUUACUCAGUUUUUCCAAGAUUUGAUGAAGUGUUUGAACACUCUGAGAAUUGAGCGUGAUCAUAGAGCACUUGAAAUAGUAAUGAAAAGACGUGUAUCAUUACAUGACUCUGAUACAUCAUUUGGACGGUAUAUGUCUUUUUUGACACCAUACUCCUUUGAAUUUGUAAAAGACCAACUAGAAAACGUCAGUAAAGUACAGAUUAUUCAACAAAUUGAUGAAAAAUCGUGUGUAUUGCGAUCUCAAGGCCGAUCUAUAACAACUACUAUUGACUCUUGUCCCUGCGGCUUUGUUUCUGCUAUGAAACUGCCAUGCAAGCAUAUCUUUGCAGUGCGCACAUCCCAGUCUCUAUCUGAGUAUGAGGAAUCUCUGUGCUGAAAGGUGGACGCAAAAACAUUUUACGAGUCAUCAUCGGGCAUAUGUACCAACUGAUAUGAGUGAUUGUGAUGUGGAAAGUCAUAUUGAUGAUACGAUUCAAAUCUCUACAUUAGAACCGGCAAGAGCAGUGCUCUCUGAGCAGCAAAAAUACAGAAAAUCUUUCAAUAUAGGCCAACGCUUAUGCCAGCAGCUCUCUACUUUUGGUAUGCACGACUUCAAUGAAGGAAUAGAAGUCCUGCAAUCAAUAGCGCAUCUCUGGGAAAAAGGCAAAAAGGUUGUCGUUGGAGAAGCAGCAGACACUGGUGAGGAUGUAUCAAGCGACAGUGACAAUUCUGUUUCUGAUCAUAUUAAAAUCCCACCUCCCAUCCUGACAGAUAAGACACAGUUGAUCUGUUACAGAAAGCACCUGAUUCUCGACAGCCAUUGUCUACCAUUCAAGAUAAUACUUUUGCGAUAAAAAUGCCGCCUGCAAUCAAGAAACGAGGUCGACCAAAAGGUGCUGGAAUAACAGUGAUUGGCCUUCCUAAAAAGAAGGGAAAAGCUUCUUCCAAACCGAAGGCAUUUGUACUAAAAUCAGAAUGGGAGAAGACAAAAGUUAUGCUCAACUGGUUUGUCGAUGAAGAAGUCACUGAACGGGCAGUGAGAGGUGGGGACCUUAUUGAAGAACACGAAAUGGAAUGUUGCCCCGAGAAAAUACCCAGAAAAUGCUUGGAUGACAAUGUUUGCAUUGCUCAAAUCAAAAAAUUCUUCACUUUUGACGGCUGGAGUUUACUUCAAAAUAGCAUAGAUACUUUGCUUGUUCAUGGGAAUUGGACUUGCUCAAUAUGCUGCAUUGAUUUAU